CUAGCGACUUCAGAGUUUGAUCCUGGCUCAGGAUGAACGCUGGCGGCGUGCCUAACACAUGCAAGUCGAGCGAGAUGUCUGUGAUGGAUUCCUCGGAUGACAGAUCAGACGGAAAGCGGCGGACGGGUGAGUAACGCGUAGGCAACCUGCCCUUCACAGAGGGAUAGCCUCGGGAAACCGGGAUUAAAACCUCAUAAUGCCAUAGGAAGACAUCUUCUCUUGGCCAAAGAUUUAUCGGUGAAGGAUGGGCCUGCGUCUGAUUAGUUAGUUGGUGGGGUAACGGCCUACCAAGGCGACGAUCAGUAGCCGACCUGAGAGGGUGAUCGGCCACAUUGAAACUGAGACACGGUCCAA
Molecule: ribosomal RNA, 354 nt
Filed under: uncultured bacterium
Lineage: Bacteria
Description: bacterial SSU rRNA
Rfam family: Bacterial small subunit ribosomal RNA
Source: RNAcentral